This is a small nuclear RNA of Rattus norvegicus (Norway rat), 106 nucleotides long. NCBI's taxonomy places the organism in Eukaryota, Metazoa, Chordata, Mammalia, Rodentia, Muridae. The record is from Ensembl.
GGGCUCGCUUCGGCAGCACAUAUACUGAAAUUGGAACAAUAAGGAGACGAUUAGCAUGGCCCCUCCAAAGGUUGACACUCAAAUUCGUGAAGCAUUCCAUAUAUUU